GUCAGGGGUGAGGGGAUGUCGCACCGCCUGGUGGCGGCCGCCGGCAGUCGGGCGGUGGCCUGGCCGCUUGUCGUGCUGUGGCGAUGUGGCGGCAGCCCAGGAAGCGGUGGUGUGGCCUGGACUGGCCGGAGGGCCCUCGGCCCGGCCUGGCAGUGCCUCCAGGGGAUCUACUUUCAGCACUUGGCUCUGCAGGGAAGACUGACUUCAUUUUCCCAAUGGUUGUGUUCAAAACCACCCAGAGGGUUUGAGAAAUUCUUUAAGAGAAGUGGAAGAAACACACACUCAGAAAAUUCAACAGCUCCAAAAAAAGAAACUGAUGAACCAAAGAAUGCUGGGCCUGGAAGAGAUGGAGGCAGGAGAGGAGGGAAGUGGGAUGACUUUGCAUGGUGGAAACGGAUGCAGAAGGGGGAGUUCCCCUGGGAUGACAAGGAUUUCCGAAAUCUGGCCAUUUUGGGAGCAGGUGUUGCUGCAGGAUUCUUCUACUUUUAUUUUCGAGAUCCUGGAAAAGAGAUCACCUGGAAGCACUUUGUACAGUAUUACUUGGCCAGAGGUCUGGUGGACCGACUGGAAGUUGUGAACAAGCAAUUUGUUCGUGUUAUUCUUGCCCCUGGGACAAGCUCUGAGAAGUUCGUGUGGUUUAACAUUGGCAGUGUUGACACCUUUGAGCGGAACCUGGAGUCUGCUCAGUGGGAGUUGGGGAUUGAACCCACCAACCAGGCUGCAGUGGUCUACACCACUGAGAGUGAUGGCUCUUUCCUGCGAAGCCUGGUGCCCACCCUACUCCUGGUUGGCAUCCUUCUGUAUGCUGUGAGGAGGGGCCCAAUGGGGGCCGGGCGUGGUGGGCGAGGAGGGGGCCUCUUCAGCGUUGGUGAGACAACAGCCAAGAUCUUAAAGAACAACAUCGAUGUACGAUUUGCAGACGUAGCUGGCUGUGAAGAGGCCAAAUUGGAAAUUAUGGAGUUUGUGAAUUUCCUGAAGAACCCCAAGCAAUAUCAGGACUUAGGAGCCAAAAUUCCGAAGGGAGCCAUGCUCACUGGUCCACCCGGGACUGGCAAAACGCUUCUUGCGAAAGCAACUGCAGGAGAGGCCAGUGUGCCUUUCAUCACUGUAAAUGGGUCAGAAUUCCUGGAAAUGUUUGUUGGAGUUGGACCAGCAAGGGUUCGUGAUAUGUUUGCAAUGGCCCGAAAGAAUGCUCCUUGUAUCUUAUUCAUUGAUGAGAUUGAUGCAAUUGGCAGGAAGAGAGGCCGAGGGCACUUGGGAGGCCAGAGUGAGCAGGAGAACACCCUGAACCAGAUGCUUGUGGAGAUGGAUGGGUUCAACUCUACCACCAAUGUUGUGGUGCUGGCUGGUACCAACCGUCCUGACAUACUUGACCCAGCCCUGACUCGGCCUGGCCGGUUUGACCGCCAGAUUUACAUUGGUCCCCCUGACAUCAAAGGUAGGUCCUCAAUCUUCAAGGUCCACCUGCGUCCACUCAAGUUGGAUGAGAUCCUCCGUAAGGACGCUCUGGCGAGGAAGCUGGCAGCACUCACUCCAGGCUUCACUGGUGCUGAUAUUUCUAAUGUGUGUAAUGAAGCAGCCCUGAUUGCUGCCCGCCACUUGAGCCCUUCUGUCCGGGAGCAACAUUUUGAGCAAGCCAUUGAGAGAGUCAUUGGAGGUCUUGAGAAGAAGACCCAAGUCCUACAGCCCAGUGAAAAAACAACUGUGGCCUACCAUGAGGCUGGGCAUGCAGUAGUGGGCUGGUUUUUGGAGCAUGCAGACCCCUUGCUGAAGGUGUCCAUCAUCCCCCGGGGCAAGGGGCUUGGUUAUGCCCAGUACCUUCCCCGAGAGCAGUACCUAUACACACGGGAGCAACUUUUUGACCGCAUGUGCAUGAUGCUGGGGGGCAGGGUGGCUGAGCAGCUCUUCUUUGGGCGGAUCACCACAGGGGCUCAGGAUGACCUGAAGAAGGUUACUCAGAGUGCCUAUGCCCAGAUCGUGCAAUUUGGAAUGAGUGAAAAGCUGGGCCAGGUGUCCUUUGAUUUCCCUCGGCAAGGUGAGGCCCUGGUAGAGAAGCCUUACAGUGAGGCAACUGCCCAGCUCAUCGAUGAGGAAGUUCGGCAUCUCAUCAGCUCGGCCUAUGAUCGGACCCUGGAACUGCUGACACGGUGCCGGGAACAGGUGGAGAAGGUGGGCAGGCGGCUCCUGGAGAAAGAAGUGUUGGAGAAGGCUGACAUGGUAGAGCUGUUGGGCCCUCGGCCCUUCGCAGAGAAGUCCACCUACGAGGAGUUCGUGGAGGGAACCGGCAGCCUUGAGGAAGACACGUCCCUUCCUGAGGGGCUGAAGGACUGGAAUCGUGAGCGAGAGGAAGGUGUGCCAACCACUGAAGAAGUCUGCAGGAGUUGGGAGCAGCCAUCCUCUUCCCCGGUUUGAACUGAAACAGCUAAGGCUGGUGGCCUGCUUUCUGAUGGUGAAUCCUAUGCUGUGACCAUGGGGAUUGGGAGAGAGACACGAAAAGACAACAUUCAGGGCUCUGCUGUGUGAGGUUUGGAAGAGGGAAGGGAGGAUGUUGGGGCUGGCCUUUUCCCCACACACUGCUGCCCGGGACUCCAGACAAUGGCAGUACUUCUUGGGAACCAGGAGCCCUGGUGCUGGUAUUGGGAUUCCUGCUUCCUCUUCAGCCACAGGUGUGUGGCAACUGUCCCCUGUUCCAUGGGUUGGGACACCUAGAGCAGUCUGCAGCACCUCAACCUCCUUAACGAUCUCUGCAACGAAGACAUGGUGUCACCUCGAGAUUCACAGGAUCCCUACACUCCAAGUCCAGGGCCUAGAGGGGGCAUGAGGAGUUAGCAAGUCAUGUCCUCCUUGGAGGCUCUGGGCAGUGACGGUUUUGCAGGAUGGCCCUAUACCAGGGCCUCAGACAAGGGGGCAGGGAGGCUGUUCCUCUCCCUCAGGCCCUGGUGUCCUCCCUGGGAUGAGGGAGGUGACAUCUGAGAAUGGAUGUCCAGACCAUCAUCAGGGCUAGGCAGCUCUUGCCACUAGAAUUCCAUGUUGGGCACAUCAUCCCCCAGUGUUCACAUACUGCCAAUAUGUCUAAUUUUUGGUUUGUCCAGGGUGCACUGAAGGAUCCCUUGUAGGUGCCCAUGUGAGCUGUCCUGUCUUUCCUCUGCGGACUGACUUUUCCUAUUAAAAACCGAUGCUGUAUUUGAAUUAAAAAUGAAAGAAAAUGAGCCCCACUUCACAUUCCAGGUUAUUUCU
Molecule: non-coding RNA, 3237 nt
Organism: Castor canadensis (American beaver)
Lineage: Eukaryota; Metazoa; Chordata; Mammalia; Rodentia; Castoridae
Source: RefSeq, a predicted model, not a curated record